This is a long non-coding RNA of Harpegnathos saltator (Jerdon's jumping ant), 796 nucleotides long. RefSeq lists it as uncharacterized. The transcript has 3 exons. The record is from RefSeq and is a predicted model, not a curated record. NCBI's taxonomy places the organism in Eukaryota, Metazoa, Arthropoda, Insecta, Hymenoptera, Formicidae.
AGGGGAUGGAGACAGUAAAACAUAUAAAGCAAUACGCAGGAAUCAUGAUUCAAUUGUAAACAUGAAGAAAGAAAUAUGGGCCACGCUUUAUCAUAAGAUUUCUACGGACGACAAUUCGCAGCACGAUAGAUGUCCAGAUGGCGAAAAUUCCUGGUGCUCAUGGAAACAGGCUAAAGUUCGCAACGAACUCGACAAUUAUCAACACAAACCAGCAAUGAAAGAUGAAGUUUUCAAUGCUGUUAAACCCAUUUAUGAAGAAUUGAGUCGCGAUGAACUAUUAUCUCGGUGCUUGGGUGGGUUUACGCAGAACAGCAACGAGUGCUUCAAUUCUGUUCUGUGGGCUCUCGCUCCUAAAUCUAUGUCCAGUGGCAAAAAAAUUGUUGACAUUGCUGCUGAUAUUGCAGUAUGUAAUUUUAACGAUGGGUUACACAGCAUUAUGGACAUUAUGCAAACUUUGAACCUGCCUAUAAGUAAAAGUUGCUAUACUUUUUGUGUAUAAGUCGAUAAUUAUCGCAUUCAGAGAGUGGAAGAUUCGAUGACUGAAGCUGUUCGAGAGGCUAGAAGAAGUGGUAUUUCUGCUCGCAAGCUUACUAAUGAAGAGGAUAUAGAUGCUGAAGGAGUAUUGUAUGGCGCAGGCAUUGCAGAUUGACGGAGCCACGUACAGAGCGGAAUUUGACACGCCGUCUAACGGUGUUCCUCCAAAGGAAUGUAUUUUAACGCCACCUACAAGAGAUUAUUUUUGACCUUUUCAGUUUCAAAAAAUGUGUAAUUACAGAUUAAAGUUACAUUAAUGAGU